RNAcentral lists this ribosomal RNA (475 nucleotides) under uncultured bacterium. RNAcentral describes it as "SSU rRNA". It matches the Rfam family "Bacterial small subunit ribosomal RNA", at positions 26 to 518 of the family's 1533-position model. The record is from RNAcentral.
AGGACGAACGCUGGCGGCGUGCUUAACACAUGCAAGUCGAGCGGUAAGGCCCUUCGGGGUACACGAGCGGCGAACGGGUGAGUAACACGUGGGUGAUCUGCCUCGCACUCUGGGAUAAGCCUGGGAAACUGGGUCUAAUACUGGAUACGACCAGGGACUGCAUGGUUUCUGGUGGAAAGGUUUACUGGUGCGAGAUGGGCCCGCGGCCUAUCAGCUUGUUGGUGGGGUAAUGGCCUACCAAGGCGACGACGGGUAGCCGACCUGAGAGGGUGACCGGCCACACUGGGACUGAGACACGGCCCAGACUCCUACGGGAGGCAGCAGUGGGGAAUAUUGCACAAUGGGCGAAAGCCUGAUGCAGCGACGCCGCGUGAGGGAUGACGGCCUUCGGGUUGUAAACCUCUUUCGACAGGGACGAAGCGCAAGUGACGGUACCUGUAGAAGAAGCACCGGCUAACUACGCGCCAGCAGCCGC